RNAcentral lists this ribosomal RNA (377 nucleotides) under Klebsiella quasipneumoniae subsp. quasipneumoniae. RNAcentral describes it as "bacterial SSU rRNA". It matches the Rfam family "Bacterial small subunit ribosomal RNA", at positions 875 to 1252 of the family's 1533-position model. The record is from RNAcentral. Lineage: Bacteria; Pseudomonadati; Pseudomonadota; Gammaproteobacteria; Enterobacterales; Enterobacteriaceae.
GGGGAGUACGGCCGCAAGGUUAAAACUCAAAUGAAUUGACGGGGGCCCGCACAAGCGGUGGAGCAUGUGGUUUAAUUCGAUGCAACGCGAAGAACCUUACCUGGUCUUGACAUCCACAGAACUUAGCAGAGAUGCUUUGGUGCCUUCGGGAACUGUGAGACAGGUGCUGCAUGGCUGUCGUCAGCUCGUGUUGUGAAAUGUUGGGUUAAGUCCCGCAACGAGCGCAACCCUUAUCCUUUGUUGCCAGCGGUUAGGCCGGGAACUCAAAGGAGACUGCCAGUGAUAAACUGGAGGAAGGUGGGGAUGACGUCAAGUCAUCAUGGCCCUUACGACCAGGGCUACACACGUGCUACAAUGGCAUAUACAAAGAGAAGCGA